AAGACGACUCACUGGGCCUGUCCUGACGCUGAGGUGCGAAAGCCAGGGGAGCGAACGGGAUUAGAUACCCCGGUAGUCCUGGCCAUAAACGAUGUCCACUAGGUCGAUGACAUUCUGACAUGGUGUCGGCCGAAAGAAAACCGUUAAGUGGACCGCCUGGGGAGUACGGUCGCAAGGCUAAAACUCAAAGGAAUUGACGGGGGCUCACACAAGCGGUGGAGCAUGUUGCUUAAUUCGAUGCAACGCGAAGAACCUUAUCCUGGGCUUGACAUGCUUGGAUGCCCCCCUGGAAACAGGGAUCGGCUGCCCUUCGGGGUGAAACUUGCACAGGUGCUGCAUGGCUGUCGUCAGCUCGUGUCGUGAGAUGUUGGGUUAAGUCCCGUAACGAGCGAAACCCUUGUCGUUAGUUGCCAGCGGGUCAUGCCGGGGACUCUAACGAGACUGCCGGUGUCAAACCGGAGGAAGGUGGGGAUGACGUCAAGUCCUCAUGGCCUUUAUGCCCAGGGCCGCAAACGUGCUACAAUGGCUGGUACAAACCGACGCGAGACCGCGAGGUGGAGCAAAUCGGAAAAAGCCAGCCCCAGUUCGGAUUGCAGUCUGCAACUCGACUGCAUGAAGUCGGAAUCGCUAGUAAUCGCGCAUCAGCGUGGCGCGGUGAAUAUGUUCCUGAGCCUUGUACACACCGCCCGUCAAGUCAUGGAAGCUGGGAGCACCCGAAGUCGGGACAAUUCAGUCCUGCCGAAGGUGAGCUCGGUGACUGGGACUAAGUCGUAACAAGGUAACCAAGGGCGAA
RNAcentral lists this ribosomal RNA (793 nucleotides) under uncultured organism. Its description in RNAcentral is "bacterial SSU rRNA". It matches the Rfam family "Bacterial small subunit ribosomal RNA", at positions 718 to 1510 of the family's 1533-position model. The record is from RNAcentral.